Long non-coding RNA from Fukomys damarensis (Damara mole-rat), 1284 nucleotides. NCBI's taxonomy places the organism in Eukaryota, Metazoa, Chordata, Mammalia, Rodentia, Bathyergidae. The record is from Ensembl.
AUGUCUUGGUACUGGCCUGGAGAGCACGGUACCUUGUGUUAUUCGUAUUUCAAAAUAAGAAAGUAUGAUGUUCCUAAACGUGCAGAUGAGACAGUCCAUUACCAAGAGGAAGAACACAGGCCCAAAGAACUAACAGAACCAGUUUCCCCAUCUGGUUCUGUGAGACACCAGGGCCCAGCGCUUAACCACCAUUUUUCAAGACUGAAGCCACUGGGAUGGGGCUGCCACACAGCCAGGAUGAGCGGCACACGGAUGUGUAGGAAACCACCCAGCACCCUAUCUGACACCAGGACCUCCCUGAGGGGAGAGAUGUGUGGGCCCCUGGAAGUUCUGAAUAACUCAAACCCAAAGGGCAGGAGCUGUUGGCGGCCCCAUGUUACAGAAGGAGAAGAAGCCCUACGAGACGUCACACAGCAAGUUCAGUGGCUGAGCCCGAGCUGGACCCCACGUCUGCCUGAAGGUAGAGCUCCAGCACUGAACCCCUUCCCCAAAUUUCUGCCCCACCCAGGACACAGAGGGGGACAUUCCUGCCCUCGCCAGGCACAUGCUCAGGGCAGUGCCAGGCUCAGAACCCUAUCCUUGCCCCUGCUCCAGGUGCAGCUCCGGCUCCGGGCCACCUGGAGGACUUUGCCUGGUGGACAAUGUAAACCAGAAGGCGCCAAGGCAACCUUUUGCGGGGCAGCGCUUCCUGUACUCACAUCCCCUUCCGCCACAGGAUCCUGUCUCCACUCCUCAGCCAGGAAGGUCUAGGGUGGGGGCUGCGUGCAGAGGGAGUAUACACACCCAGCCCGCAGCCAGAGGCCCAGCCCUGCCGUUACUGACAAUGUAGCAUUGCAGGGGCUGGGGGUUUAAACAAAGGAACUGAUGUACAGGGCUCAGAACAGCGCUCUGUGUAUUGUUACUCCUCCUGUCGGGGGAGCCCGAAAAUUCAAUGUGCUUCACAACAGCCUGAAAUGUAAAUGGGCAGACUCUUGGCACCUGCCCUAGAUACAUAAGGCUUCCGUCAACAACAGAGCACAUAUGCUUGUAACAGACCCGAGAAAUCCCUACCGGCCACUGUAAGGACGCAGGACAACACACUCCUCAUGUGAAUGAUGCUGAGGACCGACAAACCUGCCGGCUGCCAGUUAUACAAAAGCACCACACACCUCACGAUGUGCAGGACAAAAAGCCUGAUGAUGACACUUAAAGCACUACCCGGCUUGUUUAUGUGAUCACUAUGGGAGGCAUUUACCAUUAUCGAAGUGUAUCCUUCCUUGUAAAAUAAAGUCUACUAAUGAGGCA